RNAcentral lists this long non-coding RNA (405 nucleotides) under Drosophila guanche. Lineage: Eukaryota; Metazoa; Arthropoda; Insecta; Diptera; Drosophilidae. The record is from RNAcentral.
AAUGAAAAUCCUAUUACCAUCGCAUUGGAUCAUUGCAACCUAUAGAAGAUGCACAGCAUAAAUUCUUGCAAUAUGGGCAAUAUGGAAGAACAACUUGACAGGCGUCAAGGGAUCAACACAGCUACGAAGAGAGCAAUUCUCCAAGAUCUACAGCAAAUGCUUCAUGAACAUCAUGCAUUGGUCAGGCUUUUCAAGACUGCUCUAGAGCGCAUGCCAAGUGAUUGCAAUUCGGUCAAGUCAAUUAAAUACAUUUGCAAAUAUGUCACGAAAGGGAGCGACAUUGCGGAUUUUGGUAUCCAAACAUCCAAUACCAACGAUGAAAUCACGCGCUAUCAAGUUGGUACUUUUUUGUUUCUAUCUAUAUAAACAUAUUAUUUUGUAUCAUUGUUUUACGUUCAUCAAAGC